UCCAGUAAAAUUAUUAAUUAAUCUCAUUAAUUAAUACUAAUUAACCCUACACUAGGAUCUAAAUAUGAUACAACAGCAUGCAUUUAAAUUUAAAAUUUAAAUUUGAAACAGUAAAUAUUUUACUGUACUGUGUUCAGAACACAUCACCUUUUGCGGGUAGUCGAUCACCGCAAUCUGAUCACCGUCGGGGGGCUCUGAUCAUCACAUCGUAGCCACACUAGUAUCUGACCUCUGUGGAUCAUCCAUAUGAAGCUCCCAUCUGAUCGGCUCCUCACGAAUGCUAGUUCAUGAUUUCACCCUUUUGAUGGCUGAUGUUGAUCGAACUCUUUCGAUCGAUGUGUGCCGACUCCUCAGAUGCUCCGGAUCAUCUGCACGGUUGGUUGAGAGGCUGAUGAAUCUCUUCCUAAAAUUUGGUAGACGCACGACACGCGUGGCACA
This 438-nucleotide long non-coding RNA is filed under the name Elaeis guineensis (African oil palm). RNAcentral's name for it is "long non-coding RNA (EGUI_LNC079339)". The record is from RNAcentral. Lineage: Eukaryota; Viridiplantae; Streptophyta; Magnoliopsida; Arecales; Arecaceae.